GAUGAACGCUGGCGGCGUGCUUAACACAUGCAAGUCGAACGAUAAAUGGAGACGUAAACCUUCUGGCGGAAUGCUUCACUUGUAAUGACCGCGUGGGGAGUAUCGCGUGGGUAACCGGCCUCCUACAGGGAGAUAACGCUAGUAAACGACUGUUAAUACCGCAUAAUACCACAGCACCGCAUGGUGCGGUGGUAAAAGCUCCAGUUGUAUGAGAUGGACCCGCGUUCGAUGAGCCGGUUGGCGGGGUAACGGCCCACCAAAGCGACGAUCCAUAGCCGAGAUGGGAAGAUGACCGGGCACAUUGGGGCUGAGACACGGACCAAACUCCUAGGGGAGGCAGGAGUGGGGAAUAUUGCACGAUGGGGGAAACCCUGAUGCAGCCACGCCGCGUGAGUGAAGAAGUACUUCGGUAUGUAAAGCUCUAUGAGCAGGGAAGAAAAUGACGGUACCUGAGUAAGAAGCCCCGGCUAACUACGUG
Molecule: ribosomal RNA, 478 nt
Filed under: uncultured bacterium
Lineage: Bacteria
Description: partial 16S ribosomal RNA
Rfam family: Bacterial small subunit ribosomal RNA
Source: RNAcentral